CUUCCCUGGCUCUUAGCCUCCUGUCCUGCCUUGGCUGGAUGUUGGUUCUGGGUUGCAGAAUGAAGGCAUUCCUUCCUUGCAGAGUUGAUGCUAUCCAAAGGACAAAGCACCAGCCAGCAUGACUCUUGUUUCCUCUGUCACAGGUGUGAGGAAAGAGGAUGGGGUGCAGAUCCAGCUGGGACCCAGACACUGAACUGAGCUCUUCCAUGGGGAGGCACAGCUGGGAAAAGCUGAGUCCCUGAUCUGCUCUUCAGAAGAGAAAAGAUCAGGUAGGAGGCAAGAGUGCUUCCUUAAGACUUUCAUUUAGAGGUAGAUGGAUGCAUUCUGAAAUGAAUGAUAAUCACUUAAUCUGCUGCUGCCUAUGGUCAGUCUCAGGACAUUUAUCAGUGUUAUCUUAGAUGGACUGGUGGGCAGGUUUGUACAGCACAGCUUGAUGUUGAGAGUCCAUUAGAUUUUCAUCAUUUAUUCUCUUUAUUGAUUCCCUGUUACACUACACUGCUGCUUCUCAGAAGUCAGCU
Molecule: long non-coding RNA, 518 nt
Organism: Lonchura striata (white-rumped munia)
Lineage: Eukaryota; Metazoa; Chordata; Aves; Passeriformes; Estrildidae
Source: RefSeq, a predicted model, not a curated record